This 466-nucleotide ribosomal RNA is filed under the name uncultured bacterium. RNAcentral describes it as "partial 16S ribosomal RNA". It matches the Rfam family "Bacterial small subunit ribosomal RNA", at positions 28 to 507 of the family's 1533-position model. The record is from RNAcentral.
GAUGAACGCUGGCGGCGUGCUUAACACAUGCAAGUCGAACGAUGAAGCCCAGCUUGCUGGGUGGAUUAGUGGCGAACGGGUGAGUAACACGUGCGUAACCUGCCCUUAACUCUGGGAUAAGCCUGGUAAACUAGGUCUAAUACCUGAUAGGAGCGUCCACCGCAUGGUGGGUGUUGGAGAGAUUUAUCGGUUUUGGAUGGACUCGCGGCCUAUCAGCUUGUUGGUGAGGUAAUGGCUCACCAAGGCGACGACGGGUAGCCGGCCUGAGAGGGUGACCGGCCACACGGGGACUGCGACACGGCCCAGACUGCUACGGGAGGCAGCAGUGGGGAAUAUUGCACAAUGGGCGCAAGCCUGAUGCAGCGACGCCGCGUGAGGGAUGACGGCCUUCUGGUUGUAAACCUCUUUCAGUAGGGAAGAAGCGAAAGUGACGGUACCUGCAGAAGAAGCACCGGCUAACUACGUG